This 579-nucleotide ribosomal RNA is filed under the name Aspergillus brasiliensis. Its description in RNAcentral is "partial 28S ribosomal RNA". It matches the Rfam family "Eukaryotic large subunit ribosomal RNA", at positions 1562 to 2152 of the family's 3401-position model. The record is from RNAcentral. Lineage: Eukaryota; Fungi; Ascomycota; Eurotiomycetes; Eurotiales; Aspergillaceae.
UCCGUUUGAAAGGCGCCCUCGUGCGCCGUGUGCCGAAAGGGAAGCCGGUUAAUAUUCCGGCACCUGGAUGUGGAUUCUCCACGGUAACGUAACUGAACGCGGAGACGUCGGCGGGGGUCCUGGGAAGAGUUCUCUUUUCUUCUUGACGGCCUAUCACCCUGAAAUCGGUUUGUCCGGAGCUAGGGUUCAAUGGCCGGCAGAGCCCUGCACCUUUGCAGGGUCCGGUGCGCCCCCGACGACCCUUGAAAAUCCGCGGGAAGGAAUAGUUUUCACGCCAGGUCGUACUCAUAACCGCAGCAGGUCUCCAAGGUGAACAGCCUCUAGUUGAUAGAACAAUGUAGAUAAGGGAAGUCGGCAAAAUGGAUCCGUAACUUCGGGAUAAGGAUUGGCUCUAAGGGUCGGGCUCGCUGGGCCUUGGGGGGAACCCCCUGGAGCAGGGGGGCACUAGCCGGGCAACCGGCCGGCGCCCCCCAGCACCGGGGUGGGGACGCCCUUGGCAGGCUUCGGCCGUCCGGCGGGCGCUUAACGACCAACUUAGAACUGGUACGGACAAGGGGAAUCUGACUGUCUAAUUAAAAC